GUGACAAAGCACACACACAAUAGAAGAAUCAAACACCGUGCUUACAUCAGCAACGAAAAAGGUAAAUGUGCAUUGAGACCACCUUGAGACAUAUCAGGUACGGUCGGGCUGAAGACCUAAACUUUAGCGCUGCUUGCGAGGCAACCCAAGGUGUUUUUAGAUAAGUGUGGGGAAGAUGUGCGAAGAGUUGUGUGAAGGUGAUGAUAGGAAGUCGGAUUAUCUACAACAUCUGUUGUGUCAAACUUCACCAGGUCAAUGUACUCUUUCCUUAGUCUUGUUAUGUUCUUUAGUAUUAAAAUAUUGGUAUUAGUUGAUAAAAUAAAAAAUAAAAAAAAAAGAAAUUUGGGGUUCGAGAUGUAAAGCAAAUGUUGGUGUUUUUGUUGAAAGCGAUCUUUCCCUCAAAACCAUACAUUGGGACAAUGUAUCCCAAGUGUGGGGAUGGGGGGAAAUUUUUGAGAAGUUAAUAUUUUUUGUGAAACCAAGUAAAAGUGUCAAAAAUUUGAAAACUUGAUAUUGUUCCAUUUGACACACCGACACCCCUUUCUAGUCAUUUCUUGGUGAGUGUUUGAGCCACAUAUGAUUAUUAGAGAAUAUUUCUUUGUUUUGAGUGGCGGUGUUUGUAUUGUGUUAAUAGAACUUGUGUACGAAUUCUUGUUGAAGCCUAGGAUUAGCAUGCUUGUGAAAAUGAUAGGGAUUUUUAGGUAGCCUCGUCCGAAUGUGUAAGAGUGUGGGAAUUGGGGGUUGGACCUCAUACGUUACAUAUAUGAGCUUGGUAUUGUGAGGGGUGGGGUUUGGUCUUUAGAAAGCCAUGUUUGAGCCUUAUACUAUUCGGUUGUGACCCAAACCUACUUCUUACCAAAAAAAAAACUUUACCUAUUGAAACGACCCGGUUUAGGAAUUUAGUUUGUGAUUGUUGAUGUUCUUGUAUAUAUUGUUGAAUUUUAUGUGUUAUGAAGAAAAUGAAAAAAAAGAAGAAAGAAAAGAAAAAAAAAGAAAGAGAAAAAUAUGAGAAAAAUACAAAAAAAAAAGUAUUUAGUUGCAAUAGUAGUUGAGAAUGUUGAAGAAGUUGUGUAUAUAGUUGAUGUUUGCUUUGUUUAGUAGUAGAAAUAAAGACCGGGUCAAAUCAAUUAGCUCUUGCAUAUAUAUCCCACCAUUUUCCUACCUUUACACAUAGCCCCGUUAUAACCCGUAAGUCCUUUUGAUUCAUAAGCAUGCUAGGUAUUUGAUAGGAGGAAACUUGAUUUGUAUACAAGCUUAUUGUAGCACAAUCACACACUUGCAUUGAGCGUGUUAGCAUAAUGUUGCUAAUAUUACUUGUCACCGAGAGUUGUUGUGAGGGGUGUGUCUUGUGGUAUGAUAAAAAGUUAGUAAAAGAACGGUACAUUUUAGCUUGGUUUGCAUGUUGAUCGCUUGUGGUUUUGAAUUGGUUAGUGAAUGAGUUGCAUGGGACAAGCAACGGGUAAGUGUGGGGAUGUGACGGGUGGUCCGUAGGACAACCCUUAAGUGCCUUAAAAAGAUUAAAAUCCCAUGCUUUACACGUUUAAUUGUUUGAACUUGGUAACUACUAGUUGUUUGGACGUGCAGGUGCAAAUAGAGCUUAAAAGGGAAGUGAUUUGGAGCAUCAAUGAAAAAAUCAAUUUUUGGAAUUGAAGAAUUAAGAGGAUAGCAUGAUAGAGGGCGAAAUUACGAGAACGUAGGCGAAAACGGUGAAGAAAACGGAGUUGAAACGAAAAAGUUAUGCUGAAAACAAGUUUUCAUGCUGAAGCCUGCCGUAAGCUACGGCAAGGGCCGUAGCUUACGGCGCCGACUGGCACUUUUUGUCACCAUAUGACAGUUUAGAGCCACCGUAAGCCAUUCUAAGCCACCGUAAGCUACGAUGGCCACCGUAGCUUACGGCGCUGACCUACGUAAAUGUGUAACUUCCACCUUUUAAUGCGGAUUUAUGAUGCCCUUUCACCUCGAAUCAAUCCCAUUCGGUUACACAACAAUGAGGGACGAUUUUUGGUUGUGCUUGGGAGCUUGAAGACAUCUUGAAUCAUUGUUCUUAUGUUUCUAACUUAUUUGGAAGAAUAAGACUUUUGUUACAAUGUUUGUUCAAGCCAUGAGUGGCUAAGUACUUGGUGACUAUCUUUGGUGAAAGGUUUGCAAGACAUUUAUGUUUACUUCCUAA
This 2170-nucleotide long non-coding RNA is filed under the name Helianthus annuus (common sunflower). Its description in RNAcentral is "hypothetical non coding rna". Lineage: Eukaryota; Viridiplantae; Streptophyta; Magnoliopsida; Asterales; Asteraceae. The record is from RNAcentral.